Acinonyx jubatus (cheetah) is the source of this 2250-nucleotide long non-coding RNA. RefSeq lists it as uncharacterized. The record is from RefSeq and is a predicted model, not a curated record. The transcript has 3 exons. NCBI's taxonomy places the organism in Eukaryota, Metazoa, Chordata, Mammalia, Carnivora, Felidae.
GCACGUGACGUGUCACAAAGGCACCCCUGGGCUUUUGGGGCAAAUACAACACAUACACAAACACUGUCCUAGAAGGCAUAAUCUCAGAAGCAUCACAGGAGAGAUUUAGAAAAGGAGAGGUCUCGUCUGGCUACAGGAGGCAGAAUCCUCGGGAAAGAAGAAAUACCAGUGGUGGGUUAAAAAAAAAAAAGUUUAACAUUUAUUUUUGAGAGAGAGAAAGAGAGAGUCAGAAAGAGGGAGACAGAGAAUCCAAAGCAGUUUCGGUGCAGGGACUUCCCGACGCUCAAACUCAAGAACCGUGAGAUCAUGACCUGAGCCGAAAUCAAGAGUCAGAGGCUUGACCGACUGAGUCACCAGGCGCCCCACCAGUGGUGGGUUUUGAAGAAAGGUAGGAAAUCAACAGAGAACAUAGUAAAGGCAGAUGGGCAGGUCUUCCUGUGGAAGGGGUUGGCCAAGCCAACGCCCAGGAGCGUGAAAACCAGGUCAUGGUCUCAGUUACCGGUUUUCCACCAUCACACCUGUCUGACCAUAUUGUUGGAUGCCCAGAGAUGUACUCUUCCUUUGUGUGCUUUUUUUCUUUUUCUUUUUUUUUUUUUUUUGUCAUCAGAUCAAGGCACUCAUACAUCCAAGGGCAAAAGACCAUCAACUUGGUGGUGGUCCCCUGUAACGUGGAUGUUGCCAGCACAGAGGCAGUGAGCGUGGCUCGGGAGGUGGACCCUGAUGGAGACAGGGCCAGAGAUGCCUGGUUUUCCAGUAAGGACAGAAAUAAACAGUAGGGGCAAACCCCUCAAGUAUAACGUUUCACCACGCGCUGGACCACGCUUGCACCCUGUUAGCUGUUGACUUCUCCAAGCAUCACAAACGCACUGAGCCAGAGAGAACACUCAGGCUUUGGGUCAUCAGUCAUCCCUGCUGGUUUCUGGCUCACCAUUCUCCCUCGGUCUCCUCCUUCACUGGCCACUGGAGGUCACAUUCUUAGUCUCCUGGUCUGGUUGCUUCUUCAGUUCUCUGACCCCUAAAGUCGGAAAGCCAAAACUUGGCUCUGAGAUCCUCCCUCCGUCAACACGUGCUCUUUAGGCAAGCUUAUGAGGUGAGCUCAUCUCUAUCAGCUGGCAACUCCCAGAUCUAAAUUUGUGCCCCUUCCCUUUCCCUAGACUUGACAUUUCCAGUUGGAUGUCUGUCAAAGGUCUCCAAUCUAGUGCGACCAAAACAUAGCUCCUGAUACCCCACCCUGCCUCAGUCCUCCUCCUCCCAAGGCUUCUCCCCCUAUUCCCAGCACCACAUCUACCUGCCCAGUUCUAGAACUAAAUCUAAAAGUCACACUUGAUUCCUCCUUCCCCUGCUUCCAUUUCUAAUUCACCUAGAGUCCAGAUGACUCUGUCCCCAAAACCAAGACCACAUCUGUCCACCACGCUCCAUCACCACGUAGGCCAGGCCCCCUUCCUCUCUUGCCUGGACUACUCAAGCAUCCUCCUGCUGGCUCCUGGCUCUCACCUUGCCCUAAGUACACCCUCCACUGACCUUUGAACAGGUAAAUGAAGUCACGCCCUUCCUCUGCUUCUACCCUAAUGCGUCCACGCCACGUACACGAACCCUAGGCUCCUUUCCUGGACGACAAACCCUCCUGUGACCUGGCUCCAUCCACCUCUGUGCUCAUGGUUCCAUUUCACUCUGCCUUUCCCACCACCCUUCAGUGUAGCUGUGAGCCGGAGGGCCUGGGAUGUUCUUUCUCCUUCCUCACAGGCUGGGUGUGCAGAUCUCAGCCCGAACGCUACCCUCCCAGAGGCCUUCUCUCCACUCAGCCCAGCACCGCACCACCCACCCUCACCUGCACUCAUUUGCCGGCACAUGACCGGAUGUCACUUUCUCUGCGUAAUGCUUCUCAAUAGCGUUACUAUCAAGGUAUGUUUCUUUAUUUCUCGCAAAUCACAAGACUAAUGUAUCUGGCUUUUACCCGCUGGAAGGCGACGGGGUAGUCACACAACAGGGACUCUGCAGUCUUGUUCACUGCCGCUUCCUCAACUAAAGUAGAGUGCUUAAUAAGCAUCUUUCAAUUCCAUAUGAAUGUGCAAGGUAUGCAGGAAGGAGUUAAUUUAAAAAGAGAAAAAAAACCCCUAAAGCAUCUAAAAACAGGUGACCGUUCCCUUCUCUGUGGCGCAAUAGUUGGGAUAUUAGAUGAUGCUUAGAGCCCACUGCAGGGCUCGAACUCCCAAAGGGUGAGAUCCUGACCUGAGCUGGGAUCCGGAGUCU